UUGUUGGGUAGGGGAGCGUUCUGUAAGCCUGUGAAGGUGUACUGUGAGGUAUGCUGGAGGUAUCAGAAGUGCGAAUGCUGACAUAAGUAACGAUAAAGCGGGUGAAAAGCCCGCUCGCCGGAAGACCAAGGGUUCCUGUCCAACGUUAAUCGGGGCAGGGUGAGUCGACCCCUAAGGCGAGGCCGAAAGGCGUAGUCGAUGGGAAACAGGUUAAUAUUCCUGUACUUGGUGUUACUGCGAAGGGGGGACGGAGAAGGCUAUGUUGGCCGGGCGACGGUUGUCCCGGUUUAAGCGUGUAGGCUGGUUUUCCAGGCAAAUCCGGAAAAUCAAGGCUGAGGCGUGAUGACGAGGCACUACGGUGCUGAAGCAACAAAUGCCCUGCUUCCAGGAAAAGCCUCUAAGCAUCAGGUAACAUCAAAUCGUACCCCAAACCGACACAGGUGGUCAGGUAGAGAAUACCAAGGCGCUUGAGAGAACUCGGGUGAAGGAACUAGGCAAAAUGGUGCCGUAACUUCGGGAGAAGG
This 524-nucleotide ribosomal RNA is filed under the name Escherichia coli. RNAcentral's name for it is "partial 23S ribosomal RNA". It matches the Rfam family "Bacterial large subunit ribosomal RNA", at positions 1221 to 1746 of the family's 2925-position model. The record is from RNAcentral. Lineage: Bacteria; Pseudomonadati; Pseudomonadota; Gammaproteobacteria; Enterobacterales; Enterobacteriaceae.